GAUGAAGAACGCAGCGAAAUGCGAUAAGUAAUGUGAAUUGCAGAAUUCAGUGAAUCAUCGAAUCUUGAACGCACAUUGCGCCCGCUAGUAUUCUAGCGGGCAUGCCUGUUCGAGCGUCAUUUCAACCAUCAAGCCCCAGGCUUGUGUUGGAGCCCUGCGGCCGUCCGCAGCCUCCUAAAAUCAGUGGCGGGCUCGCUAUCACACCGAGUGCAGUAGUUUACUCUUCGCUCAGGACGUGUAGCGGGUUCCGGCCGUGAAACCCCCCAAUUUUCAAGGUUGACCUCGGAUCAGGUAGGAAUACCCGCUGAACUUAAGCAUAUCAAUAAGCGGAGGA
Molecule: unclassified non-coding RNA, 334 nt
Filed under: soil metagenome
Description: partial contains 5.8S ribosomal RNA, internal transcribed spacer 2, and large subunit ribosomal RNA
Rfam family: 5.8S ribosomal RNA (bases 1-119)
Source: RNAcentral